AAGUGUUUGAAAUUAUACUGUUUCAUGAUUUCUGCUUAAGUAUAGGUUUAAAUAUUAUUAAACAGACAACUAUUGAUAUCCUAAUCUAUUCGCUAAAAGGAUUUUAUUUCUAAAAUCCUUUUAGUGAAUUUUAGAAAAACUAUCGAAAGUACUCAUUGACUUGCCGUAAAGUCAGACAUUUCAUCUCUAUUUCCUUAUAUUUUAUUUAUUUAGCAUUCCAGGUAAGUUUUCGGGACUUCCACCAGGACAGAGGAUAGGAAUUAGCAGAGUUAUAUAGAGCGAUAUAUAUAAACUAACGACUCUUUAAAUCGAGCAUCAACAUUUUAUUUAACGAUGCCAUUGUCAUUCUUCACUAAAAGUUUUGUUUCUAAGAAUACAGCGAAGGCUGACAAUGGGAUAAAGUCAUCUCGACGGAAAAGGCGCUUAAUCUCCAGAUCUCAGAGCAAUAUCACCCCCUCCGACAUUCAAAGUUGGCUGUCAAAUAUUGAACCAACAAUUCCAAGUCAAGGAUAUUUCCAGAACACUGAUGAUAAAUCAUAUCCUUUUUCAAGGGUCAAAUUCAAGCAGUCACUGGCCCAGAUGACUUUAGACCAGUUACGACACCAUGAUGAAGCUCAAAAAGAAGCUGAAGAUUUACUGAAUGACUGGGUCCAGAAAAGCCUUUAUGACUCUAAUUUGGCUGACAAGGACAACCUAUAUGUCAUAGAUAAUAAGGAACUGGAAGAGGUACCAUGUAAAGAUUACUUGGACAUUUACGAAACAGACUCACGUUUGGAUUUCAAUGAAGAUGAAGCACUGGAAACUGUGUUGCAAAACAUGCUUAAGAAAGAGUUGGUCCCUAAAAGGAUUUUCUCUAAUUUAGGAUUAGAUAAUUCAAAACAACAACAUGACCCUUCUGUGAAAAUGGAACUGAGGCGGCAACAGGUGAAAGAAAAUCGUUUGAAGCGAGAAAAUGACAUUAAUCAAAAAAGACAAGAGCAGCAGAUGAAAAAAGAAGCUCACUUGAAAGCUUACCAAAGAAUUAUGAAGGAAGAGAGAUUAAAAGCAAUAAAGCACCAACAAGAAGAGCGAGAGAUUCAAAAACAGAUGGCAGCUAUACGAAGACAGAUGCUGGCAGAGAAAAAGGAACAGAAAGGAAAGAAACAAGAACAAAUCCAACUUACCAAUGAUUGUCCUCAGCAACCAGCAACUGAAAUAACCCCACAUAAGAAUUUCUCCAGCAUUGAACAAUGCACCACAAUGGCUAAGACAGAACAAAAAAUGGCCAAGUAUGAAGCUUUGAAAGUCAAACAGAAAGCUAUCAACAUACAGAUUUUACAACGACAUUUUAUGGCUUGGACAAGUGUCAUAUUACAGAAAAGGGUGAGAUAUGGAAAGGUUUCUGCUCUGGCUGACUGGAAGUUAUUGCUACGUCAUUGGAAUGCAUGGAAAUCCUUGUCAAUGCAGAAUAAAAUGGAGAAAGAAUUGCAAGUUCACCAACAGAACAUGAGAGAAUGUCAAAGAAAAGACAAAAUGGCAGGUGAGCACUACAUCACAAAGUUGAUGAAGAAGUGCUUCUGGACAUGGCAACUAUACCUUCACAGAGAAAAAGAAUGCCAGCGUUUAAAACUCUCUCAGAAAGAAACCAAAGUCAAAAUGGAGAAACUCUUAAUUGCUGCUGCUUCAGGAAAAAUAAAUGUGGUCAAUUCUUUGAGCAAUUCUGAGACCAAAUCUAAAAAUUUAACCAAGAAGAAGCCAGACAUUGAGAAAUGCAUUAAACAAGUGAAAAUUUCAAGUGUUCCAUGCAAUUCUGAUGGUAGUAUUAUUGGGUGUUCACAAUUGUCAAGUGUACCAUGGAAAGCUUCAAGAAAGCUGCUGGACAUGGAAACUCCUCAAUUUUGUCAGCUUGUUGCAGGAACAAAUACUGAAACCUAUUCUUCAGAUCAGAAACAGACAACUUCUCGACCCCUGUCAGCACCAAAUAAGUUCCAGAUGCACUCAAUAGAAAGGAAAUUGGAAUUCCAAAAGAAUUUCAUGAAAGAACAACAAAAGCAGUUAAAAGAACAGAAACGAUUAAUUGAAGAAUUGCAAAGCAAUCAACGCUGUGAAAAGUUGAAGAAUGAAAUCUCAAUGAAAACGAAGACUAAUCAAGGAGUUAAUAUUAAUCCAUUGUCAUCAAUUAAAUCUGGAGGUGUGAAACAGCAGAUUCUGAACCAAACAUCAAAACAUUCUUCAGCAGAGAGUUGCUCUCCAGAGUCUCAAGUAGAAUCUCAAACAGAUUCACGGGCAGAAUCUCGGACAGACUCAUGGAUUGAAUCCCGAAUGGAAUUUUAUGCAGAAUCUCAUAUAGAGUCUAAUACAGAAAUUCAGACAGAAUCUGAAAUAGACUCUCAAACAGACUCUCGAAUAGGAUCUCGAAUCGGAUCUCAGACAGAAUCUCGAGCAGACUCUCGGACAGACGCUCGGACAGGCUCUCGCACUGAGUCAUAUGAUGAGUCUUGUCCUUCAUCUUCUACCAGAACUUCAUCUCAAAAUCGAUCUCAAAGACACCAAACAUUCGUGAGAAAUCUGGAGAAUCGUGCCAAUGAGAGAAAGCACUUAAAGAUGGAAAGGGAAGCUCGGAAGAGAAGAGAAAUGGAAGAAAAAUUGAUGAUGGAGAAAAAAUGUAUAGAGGAGUGUAUCAAGGCAGAAAAAGAUGAGAGGAGAGCUCGCGUGAAAGCAAUUGAACAGCAGAAACAUUUAGAGGAACAGAGAAAAGCUGAGCAAGAACAGAGAAUGAAAGAGUUGGAAGAAUUAAACUCAAAAGCUGAUGAUUUCUAUAGACUAUAUUUGUUGAAAAUAUAUGGAGUUUUACCUUGGAAGGAGUUUAUAGCCAAGAUACAUAACACUGAAUCUAAAGCUAUUGAAAUGGACAAAUGUAGAAUUCAGAAAAAAAAUUUUAAUGAGCUGGCACAACCAUGUCCAAAAAUUAAUCAAUGAGAAAACCAACUCUGCUGACAUCUUCUAUGAAAAAGCGUUAGUCAGGCGUCACUUCAUCUGUUGGAAGAAUCAUAAGAAUUACCAACUUGCCUUAGAGAAGAAAGCGAAAAAGUAUUUUGCAAGCAAUCUCUGCCGUACAGUCUUCAAUGCU
This 3109-nucleotide unclassified non-coding RNA is filed under the name Octopus sinensis (East Asian common octopus). Its description in RNAcentral is "coiled-coil domain-containing protein 191-like, transcript variant X3". Lineage: Eukaryota; Metazoa; Mollusca; Cephalopoda; Octopoda; Octopodidae. The record is from RNAcentral.